This 21-nucleotide non-coding RNA is filed under the name Arabidopsis thaliana (thale cress). Lineage: Eukaryota; Viridiplantae; Streptophyta; Magnoliopsida; Brassicales; Brassicaceae. The record is from RNAcentral.
UUGAGAUCUUUUGCAGAUGUG